CUAUUCUACACUAGAAUUCUAUCAAAUGGAGAGUUGCUUCAGUUCUACAUUAUUUGCAAAAGGAAUAGAAAAGGUAAUUUGGCAAAUGAGGGGUUUAAGGAUUGGACAUAUCUUGGCACUAGACUUAAAGAGCAUGAGACAAGUGCAGGCCAUGUUUUGAAUAUGACCACUUGGUAUGAGUUGCGUACUAGAUUGCAAAAGCAUGAAACUAUUGAUAAAGCCGCUCAGCAACAAUUUAAGAGUGAAAAGGACCACUGCAGAAAAGUUUUGUUGAGAAUCGUUUGGAUUGUUUCAUUUCUUACCAAGCAUAAUCUAGCCUUUUGUGGUACUCAUAGAAAAUUGUAUGAAGACAACAAUGAAAAUUUCUUGGGUUUGGUUGCUGAAUUUGACCUGGUUAUUCAAGAGCAUGUUCAUCAUAUUACAAAUGAUGAAACUCAUGCUCACUAUCUUGAUUUUAAGAUUCAGAAUGAGUUCAUACACUUGCUUGCUUCUGCUAUUCCGUCUAAGAUUGUUAAGGUAAUAAAGAGUGCAAAGUAUUUAUUUGUCAUACUUGAUUGUACCCCUGAUGCAAACCAUCAAGAAUAGAUGCCUAUAAUCAUAAAAUAUGUUGAUUCAUCUUCAAACCAUGUCUGCAUAUAAGAAUCUUAUCAAAAAAUAGAUGUAAAUGAUACAACUAGGCAAGGACUUUUUGAAGUGCUAGAAAAUGAACUAGAGCUUCUAGAUAUUGAUAUAGAUGAUGUGAGAGCAUAAGGUUAUGAUAAUGGGUCAAAUAUGAAAGAAACCCAUCCAGGAGUCCAAAGGAGAUUGAAUGUAACUCCUAGAGCCUUCUAUUAUGCUUGUGGUUGUCACAGCCUUAAUUUGACACUUUGUGAUAUGGACAAGACCUGCGGUAAAGCUAAACACUUCUUUGGAAUUAUCCAGCGCAUAUAUACAACCUUUGCCAAUUCUACUAAGAAAUGGUGUAUUCUAAAAAAUAACAUAACAUGAUUAAAUCCCAAGUCAGUGUCAGCUACACGCUGGGAGAGUCGUGUUGACAGUGUUAAAGCUAUUUAACUUCAAUGUGCAGACAUUCGGGAGGCCCUACUUCAAGUACCCAAUAUUUUCGUAGUAUCCGAGACGAGCAGUGAGGCUAAAGGUUUGGCAAAUAGUGAACUUGGAGAGUAUGAAUUUAUAGUGGCAAUAGUCAUUUGUUCUGAGGUAUUGUAUGUGUUAGUUUAGUAAACAAACACUUGCAAGCAAAGGAUAUGUGAUGUUGCUAUUGAGAAAGUGCAAGGACUGGUUUCUUUCUUCAAGGGGUAUGGGGAAACUGUUUUUGUAGAAGCAUUGGUGAAAGCCAAAGGAAUUGCACUUGAGAUGGAUAUUGGUUCAACAUUUCGUAAAAGAUGAGAAAUUGUAAGAAAGAAACAUUUUGAUGAGAACCCAGAUGACACAAAUGCUGCCACACAGUCUGCGGAGGAAUCAUUUGGAAUCACCUAUUUUAUAUGUAUUGUUGAUCAAGCAGUUAGGUCACUUACAAGAUGAUUUGACCAAUAUCAAGGUUACCACAAAAUAUUUGGUCUCUUAUUUACCUCUGAAACAUUGCAAUCAUUAGAUAAGAAGAGCUUGAAAACUUCUUGUGAUAAUCUUGAGGUUGCUCAUAAGGAUGGAAAAUCUGACAUUGAUGCUAAUGAACUUUUGAAGCUGACAUUUCUUAAAAAAUUCAUUACAAAAGAAAAUAUUGGGUCAGUUGAAAUUCUAAAGUUUUUAAAGCGGGAGUGUUUCCCUAAUGCAAGUAUUGCAUAUAGAGUUCUCAUGACUAUACAUGUGACUAUUGCAUCAGCAAAACAAAGCUUUUCUAAAUUGAAGCUACUGAAGUCCUAUAUAUGCACUACCAUAACACAACAUAGACUCGCUAAUUUGGCCACAAUAGCACUGGAGAGUGAUGUAUUGGAGAAGAUUUCUGACGAUGAUAUCAUUGAAGACUUCAUUACAAAGAACACUAAAAGAAUGAUGUUAUUUAAAUGA
This 2004-nucleotide ribosomal RNA is filed under the name Triticum aestivum (bread wheat). RNAcentral's name for it is "partial small subunit ribosomal RNA". Lineage: Eukaryota; Viridiplantae; Streptophyta; Magnoliopsida; Poales; Poaceae. The record is from RNAcentral.